Molecule: ribosomal RNA, 1876 nt
Filed under: Triticum aestivum (bread wheat)
Lineage: Eukaryota; Viridiplantae; Streptophyta; Magnoliopsida; Poales; Poaceae
Description: partial small subunit ribosomal RNA
Source: RNAcentral
CGGGCGCGAUCGGUGCAGCCGCGACCUGGGCGCGCGAGUGCGAGUUUCCCGAACCGACCUAUAGAGAGGGCGUCUAUUGCGGACGGAUCCGAUUUAAACGCUACCUAGGAAAGGAAGGGACGCUUCCAUUUUUGCCGAGCCCUAAACUGGAGAGAGGGCGUAUUGGGAGAGGAAGGCAGAGGUGGCGGUGUGGGGAGCCCAAACUUCGGGUGUGUGCGUUGGAGAGAGGGUACAUUGGCCGGCCGUACUCCCAGCGGUCGCCCUCUCGUGCGUCGGGUGGGGUUGUCGUCGCCCCUCGACCGGACGGCGCGCGGCGGCCCCUCCGCUGGGCCGCUAGCCUCCUCUCCCCGGUACCGCGCCUUCGUGCCGACCGUCGAGGGCCGGGUGUGGGACGUCCGCCGAAGGCCGCCUCCUCAGAACACCACAAGCACCUCCGACGCUCCUCCAUCGCUACCCCUAGCCGAUGGCUCGCUCCCGUUCCCGCGGCUAGAGGGUAGAGGACAAUCAUAAGUGACCGCGCCGGUGGUAGCUGACCUAGANNNNNNNNNGUCUUCUACACGGUACUCAACUACCCGUCGAUCGGUCGGCAACGUUCUCGUAAGUCUCUAUACUCGACGAUGAGUAUGUGUCGAGGAUGUUUGGAUGUCUCGGUAACAAGAGGAUGGACCCUCGCCUAUCCUUCCUAAACCCACGGCCGUUGUACCCCGACUCUUCUUUCCUCCUACAAACUCCUGUUGAUCACUCGCAUGAUGUUGGCGUCGACUAAGCACACACAACAAACAAGCUAGGUUGGGAAGGCAGACGUCCCGGACCACUUCCCUUACUUCUACGUGUGGGAGCCGGUACUGAAACAUGAGAUCGAUAUGAGAAUAUUUACAGUGCCUACCCUCCCUUCUGUUCCUCCCGUGUCCUUUGUCAGCUACUUUGUACCAACUUCAACAACAACAAGACGUGGAGUAGGUUUGGUAGAAAUCUACAACCUUUUCAUGUCCGUUUCGCGAGUCGUAGCCACACCAGAGAAGCAUCUCAGAGUUCAACUACGAUAAUUUUUAUCUGAACUAUUUUUUAUGUUGUGUACACUACCGAAAGUACACGCGCAGUUCAGAUAACUACCAAAAGUUCCUCUUCUCCUACUAUAUAAUUAUGAUAGUGGCCAUUAUAGGUUAACCUUACCUCAACAACCCAAAGAACGACUAUUGGUUUCUUGUUUGUAAUGUACCCUGUUCCCGUUCCGAGACCUAAAAGACUUACUUAGCAAUCCUAUAUGUUGACUUCGUUACUGCAGGACGGCCACAUAUAUCCGCUGCUGGCGUAGCUGUCCUAGGACCACCGGUUCACGGAGUUCCUCUCGUCGUGCAGAAUGAGUGAGGGUUCUGGUCGUCUCGAAAAAGUACCGGAAAUCUGUAAACUUUGCCUCCCUCAUACUAAGAGGAUAUAAACGCACGAACAUCGAAACUAAAUAAAAUACUUACACACGACGACGACAUAGAAUAAAAAGGUUGGAUAACUAGGACAGUCUACACGCGGUCCCGUCCGAGACCAGUCGUGAUUCCCUAAAGUCAAUAUUAAGGUACUCGUUACGAACGUAAAUGUACACGCAGGUCCUGUAUUUUUUCUAGACUUUUCAUGCCACUGGAUGCACCGUGGCGUCUCAAAGGCGAGUCCUCUGCGGCGCUCCCCGCGGGGUUGGUGAUCACUCUCCCUAUUAGGACGACCUGGUCAGGGUCUCUCGUAAGCUUCGCACAAAUACAGCUCCGCGUAGGACUUCUCGUAAGGUUCACUGUGUUGACUUGAGGCGGCGGCAGACCCUAAGUCUUUGUGCCCCUCGUAUGUCUGUGGUUACUUGCUCGGUGCGGCGGAGAAACCACCGGUGGUG